This 452-nucleotide ribosomal RNA is filed under the name uncultured bacterium. RNAcentral describes it as "bacterial SSU rRNA". It matches the Rfam family "Bacterial small subunit ribosomal RNA", at positions 354 to 796 of the family's 1533-position model. The record is from RNAcentral.
GUGGGGAAUUUUGCGCAAUGGGCGAAAGCCUGACGCAGCAACGCCGCGUGGAGGAUGAAGGUGCUCUGCAUCGUAAACUCCUGUCGCCUGGGACGAACGGGCAGGGGGGGAACACCCCCCGGCCUUGACUGUACCAGGAGAGGAAGCCCCGGCUAACUCCGUGCCAGCAGCCGCGGUAAUACGGAGGGGGCAAGCGUUACUCGGAAUUAUUGGGCGUAAAGGGCGCGUAGGCGGUCCCGCACGUCGGAGGUGAAAUCCCCGGGCUCAACCCGGGCACGGCCUCCGAUACGGCGGGACUGGAGUCCGGGAGAGGGGAGCGGAAUUCCCAGUGUAGCGGUGAAAUGCGUAGAUAUUGGGAGGAACACCAGUGGCGAAGGCGGCUCCCUGGACCGGUACUGACGCUGAGGCGCGAAAGCAUGGGGAGCAAACAGGAUUAGAUACCCGUGUAGUCC